UACGGAGGAUCCGAGCGUUAUCCGGAUUUACUGGGUUUAAAGGGUGCGUAGGCGGCCCUGCCAGUCAGCGGUGAAAUGUGGCGGCUCAACCGUUUCGCUGCCGCUGAAACUGCGGGGCUUGGAUACGGUCGAGGCGGGUGGAAUUCGUGGUGUAGCGGUGAAAUGCAUAGAUAUCACGAGGAACGCCGAUAGCGAAGGCAGCUCGCCGGGCCGCGAUCGACGCUGAGGCACGAAAGCGUGGGGAUCGAACAGG
This 253-nucleotide ribosomal RNA is filed under the name uncultured bacterium. RNAcentral's name for it is "partial 16S ribosomal RNA". It matches the Rfam family "Bacterial small subunit ribosomal RNA", at positions 524 to 776 of the family's 1533-position model. The record is from RNAcentral.